This 72-nucleotide transfer RNA is filed under the name Gavia stellata (red-throated loon). It matches the Rfam family "tRNA". Rfam says of the family: Transfer RNA (tRNA) molecules are approximately 80 nucleotides in length. Their secondary structure includes four short double-helical elements and three loops (D, anti-codon, and T loops). Further hydrogen bonds mediate the characteristic L-shaped molecular structure. tRNAs have two regions of fundamental functional importance: the anti-codon, which is responsible for specific mRNA codon recognition, and the 3' end, to which the tRNAs corresponding amino acid is attached (by aminoacyl-tRNA synthetases). tRNAs cope with the degeneracy of the genetic code in two manners: having more than one tRNA (with a specific anti-codon) for a particular amino acid; and 'wobble' base-pairing, i.e. permitting non-standard base-pairing at the 3rd anti-codon position. The record is from Rfam by way of RNAcentral. Lineage: Eukaryota; Metazoa; Chordata; Aves; Gaviiformes; Gaviidae.
GCGUUGGUGGUAUAGAGGUGGGUAUAGCAGCCUUUCAAGCAGUUGACCCAGGUUACAUUCCUGGCUAAUGCA